This 75-nucleotide transfer RNA is filed under the name marine sediment metagenome. Its description in RNAcentral is "tRNA-Met". It matches the Rfam family "tRNA". From Rfam's summary of the family: Transfer RNA (tRNA) molecules are approximately 80 nucleotides in length. Their secondary structure includes four short double-helical elements and three loops (D, anti-codon, and T loops). The record is from RNAcentral.
AGCGCGGUAGAGCAGUUAGGCCAGCUCGUCGGGUUCAUAACCCGAAGGUCGGAGGUUCAAAUCCUCCCCGCGCCA